UACGGAGGAUGCGAGCGUUAUCCGGAUUUAUUAGGUUUAAAGGGUGCGUAGGCGGAUAAGUAAGUCAGCGGUGAAAGCUUGUUGCUUAACAACAGAAUUGCCAUUGAUACUGCUAAUCUUGAGUACAAUUGAGGUAGGCGGAAUGUGUAAUGUAGCGGUGAAAUGCUUAGAUAUUACACAGAACACCGAUUGCGAAGGCAGCUUACUAAGCUGUAACUGACGCUGAGGCACGAAAGCGUGGGGAG
This 245-nucleotide ribosomal RNA is filed under the name uncultured bacterium. RNAcentral describes it as "partial 16S ribosomal RNA". It matches the Rfam family "Bacterial small subunit ribosomal RNA", at positions 524 to 768 of the family's 1533-position model. The record is from RNAcentral.